UGAAACUGGGGCAAGACCAUAAAGACUAAAACAAAGAAAAACACUUAUCUCAAUCAACCACAAACAGAAACAUUGGCUAACAUUCACCACAGAAUAAACAAAAUUGCUAGAUAGACAUGAAUUUAAUCAAUACAUAUUGUAGAAAUCUAUUGUUCAGUAAAUCUUUAGCUCACUAUCAAUUUUGAAGCAUUAGUUUACCUCAUAUCAGAAUCAAACCCAAAAUUACCGAAUUCCUAUAAAACCUAAAGGCUAAAGUUCAACAAAGUCAUGAGCAUAUUGGACCUGUCAUCCUUUAUAAAGGAGAAUUUUCUCAGACUCAUUAUUCCUCAAAAAUUCAAAUACAAAAACA
Molecule: long non-coding RNA, 349 nt
Filed under: Panax ginseng (ginseng)
Lineage: Eukaryota; Viridiplantae; Streptophyta; Magnoliopsida; Apiales; Araliaceae
Description: long non-coding RNA (PGIN_LNC003041)
Source: RNAcentral